GUGCUCAGUUAGGCAGCUCAUGUACUAAAAUUGGAAAGAUACAGAGAUUGGCACGGCCCCUAGACAAGGAUGACAUACAAAUUAAGGAAGCAUUCCAUAUUAAA
Otolemur garnettii (small-eared galago) is the source of this 104-nucleotide small nuclear RNA. Lineage: Eukaryota; Metazoa; Chordata; Mammalia; Primates; Galagidae. The record is from Ensembl.